CAGCCGCCACGGGAAUACGUAGGGUGCGAGCGUUAAUCGGAAUUACUGGGCGUAAAGCGUGCGCAGGCGGUUUUGUAAGACAGGCGUGAAAUCCCCGGGCUCAACCUGGGAAUGGCGCUUGUGACUGCAAAGCUAGAGUGCGGCAGAGGGGGAUGGAAUUCCGCGUGUAGCAGUGAAAUGCGUAGAUAUGCGGAGGAACACCGAUGGCGAAGGCAAUCCCCUGGGCCUGCACUGACGCUCAUGCACGAAAGCGUGGGGAGCAAACAGGAUUAGAUACCCCCGUAGUCCCUGUCUCUUAUAC
This 301-nucleotide ribosomal RNA is filed under the name uncultured bacterium. Its description in RNAcentral is "partial 16S ribosomal RNA". It matches the Rfam family "Bacterial small subunit ribosomal RNA", at positions 509 to 807 of the family's 1533-position model. The record is from RNAcentral.